RNAcentral lists this ribosomal RNA (878 nucleotides) under Chattonella subsalsa. RNAcentral's name for it is "partial large subunit ribosomal RNA". It matches the Rfam family "Eukaryotic large subunit ribosomal RNA", at positions 47 to 830 of the family's 3401-position model. Lineage: Eukaryota; Raphidophyceae; Chattonellales; Chattonellaceae. The record is from RNAcentral.
UAAGCGGAGGAAAAGAAACCAACUCGGAUUCCCCUAGUAACGGCGAGUGAAGCGGGAAGAGCUCAUGUUGUAAAUCUGGAUGAGGGUUCCUCGUCCCGAAUUGUAGUCUAGAGAUGCGUGCUCAGCUACUCUCCAGGGCUAAGUCUGUUUGUGAAAGACAGUGUCAUGGACGGUGAUAACCCGGUUCUUGCCUUGGAUGUUGUAGCGUUUUGAGCCGUCCUCAACGAGUCGAGUUGCUUGGGAUUGCAGCUCUAAGUGGGUGGUAAAUUCCAUCUAAAGCUAAAUAUUGGUGGGAGACCGAUAGCGAACAAGUACCGUGAGGGAAAGAUGAAAAGAACUUUGAAAAGAGAGUUAAAUAGUACCUGAAACUGCUGAAAGGGAAGCGAAUGAAGUCAGUGUUGCUCUUUGUGCUCUGCAUCCUCCCUGCGGGGAUUGUGUAUCGAGGACUUUGAGCUUGUCAGGAUGAGUUCUCUGCCGCGGGAUAUGUUUUGUAUGCUGGAUGCUUUUUGCGGAACAUACAUUCUCUGUCGUGGCUUGGACUGAGGUUCCAUCUUGCCGUUGCCUGUGCGUUCCUCUCCCGUUGCUGUCUCUGUUCUACUGCUUGCAGUGCUCAGUUGCAGUAGUUGGACUGUGCGUAUUAUGCAUGCAAGGUCAGGAUCCUGACGAAAUGGCUUUAUUUACCCCGUCUUGAAACACGGACCAAGGAGUCUAACAUACGUGCGAGUACUUUGGUGACAAACCAAUGUGCGCAAUGAAAGUAAAGGCUGGCUUCCGUCAGCUCAGGUGGGAUCCGUUUGGAGCACCAUCGACCGACCAUUAUGCCUUCGGGCUAAAGGUUUGAGUGUGAGCAUUUAUGUUGGGACCCGAAAGAUGGUGAA